GAUGAACGCUGGCGGCGUGCCUAAUACAUGCAAGUCGAGCGAACAGACGAGGAGCUUGCUCCUCUGACGUUAGCGGCGGACGGGUGAGUAACACGUGGAUAACCUACCUAUAAUACUGGGAUAACUUCGGGAAACCGGAGCUAAUACCAGAUAAUAUAUUGAACCGCAUGGUUCAAUAGUGAAAGACGGUUUUGCUGUCACUUAUAGAUGGAUCCGCGCCGCAUUAGCUAGUUGGUAAAGUAACGGCUUACCAAGGCAACGAGACGUAGCUGACCUGAGAGGAUGAUCGGCCACACUGGAACAGAGACACGGUCGAGACGCCGACGGGAGGGAGCAGGGGGGAAUAGUGGACAAUGGGCGCAAGCCUGAUACAGCCAGAACGCGUGGAGGAAGAAGGCCUUCGGGUUGUAAAGCCCUUUGGUGGUGAAAGAAAAGCAGCAGGUGAAUACCCCGCUGUUCUGACGGGACCAAAAGAAGAAGCACCGGCUAACUUCGUG
Molecule: ribosomal RNA, 497 nt
Filed under: uncultured bacterium
Lineage: Bacteria
Description: partial 16S ribosomal RNA
Rfam family: Bacterial small subunit ribosomal RNA
Source: RNAcentral